UACAGAGGUCCCAAGCGUUGUUCGGAUUCACUGGGCGUAAAGGGUGCGUAGGUGGCAAGGUAAGUUUGAUGUGAAAUCUCCGGGCUUAACCCGGAAAAUGCAUUGAAUACUCUCUUGAUAGAGGAUUGGAGGGGGGACUGGAAUUCUCGGUGUAGCAGUGAAAUGCGUAGAUAUCGAGAGGAACACCAGUGGCGAAGGCGAGUCCCUGGACAACACCUGACACUGAGGCACGAAAGCUAGGGGAGCAAACAGG
RNAcentral lists this ribosomal RNA (253 nucleotides) under uncultured bacterium. Its description in RNAcentral is "partial 16S ribosomal RNA". It matches the Rfam family "Bacterial small subunit ribosomal RNA", at positions 524 to 776 of the family's 1533-position model. The record is from RNAcentral.